CGGGUCCGUCUGACGACACAACUUCCGCAGCUACAACCGGCCCGUCCGACGGCACUGCUACUGGCCCGUCCGAUGCUGCCGCAACUUGAUCGACCCGCACUGCGUUCCUGUGAUCGUCCUCGAGGCGAGAAGUUGUCAGGGACGAGAUCAAGUCCAGACUCAUCGUGGAGAAGAAACCUUAAGCAUACAACCAUGCCGACAACCAUCCGUGAAGUGGACAAAGGGCUGGACAACGGGCCGCACUGAAAAAAACGCAUGGUUCCCAAGAAAGCGUUCUGACUUUCCGCUCUGACUUUGGCCACUGUCUCCAGUCCCACAUCUCAUCAGUCCUGCUACUCUGUCCUGGACCACCUACUCCACUGUGUCCCUGGCUUCCUGCAAUUCGCCCAAGCUUCCCCUGGCCUGCACCCCAUCUUCCACCUGUGUUUCAAUAAAUACCUUGGUUACCUCAUCCCAGUCUCCUCGUCUGAGUCUGCUCUUAGGGUUCACCUGUUCCGUUCCACGUGACAGUACGAUCUGGCCAAGACAUGAACCCAGCAAACUCAGAUCCUCUCCACCAAACCCUUCCAGCCAAGGCCCCCAG
RNAcentral lists this long non-coding RNA (583 nucleotides) under Salmo salar (Atlantic salmon). Its description in RNAcentral is "lncRNA (ENSSSAG00000086572.1)". The record is from RNAcentral. Lineage: Eukaryota; Metazoa; Chordata; Actinopteri; Salmoniformes; Salmonidae.